This 1112-nucleotide long non-coding RNA is filed under the name Nicotiana tabacum (common tobacco). RNAcentral's name for it is "long non-coding RNA (NTAB_LNC001728)". The record is from RNAcentral. Lineage: Eukaryota; Viridiplantae; Streptophyta; Magnoliopsida; Solanales; Solanaceae.
ACGAAUGGUUGCUGCUCCUGCGAGUGAUUCUGCAAAGUGAUGGAGGAUUGGAGCUCUUUGAACUCCAGAUAAACGAGCAAGCUCUCUUGCAGUUGGUAUGUAGUAUUGCUGGCAUUUUUAACAAUAAUAUCUUAAAAUAACAUUCUACAAAAAUUAGAAAGAAUCUUUGUAAUCUUCAACAAACAUAAAGUUUGUUCAUCCUUUGAUCUUUAAAUAUAAUUUUACUAAUAUUUUCCCAAACUUCACUUGAUCAUGUAUACAAAAACUCUUCUAUAAGGUGGAGAUGAGAACUUAUUUUAGCAGCAAACUUGGUUUUAUCGCCGUGUCAGCCUCCCCUAACUUGACCACUAGAAUUCUUUGCCCAAAACAAACCAGCAUCUUCUUGUUUUAAUAUAAUUAGCAUUUAGAAAUCUAAAACUUGUACAUCUUACUCACCUGGUACCAAAUGCAGACUGCUGUUACUGGAAUAAAGAUGACGAAUACUUCCCAUGCGACCUGUGACAUGACUGCAAUUGUCCCAAGAAGCUGAAUAAUGGAGAAGGCGCACCAACCCAACUUGGUUGCCAUUUCCAAGUCUAAAACACUUUGGUCUGUGGAUACCUGUUCAUGUAAUAAUAUGUUCUUGAGUGAUUGAUCCAAUGGAAUUGCAUCAAUGAAUAAACUGAAUUUCAGCCUUAAGUUCUUUAGGUUAUGGCUAGAAUUAGCUCACUGUGUUUUUUCAUGGUAUUAUCUUGAUUUUCUUAUUCUGAUACUUUUCUGUGGAUUAACUUAUGAGUUACACAUUCAGAUACCGCAUGACUGUACAGUGAAAGAUCCUACUUGCUUUAUGCGGUAAUGAGAUAUAACUGAUAUGUAUCCUCUGACUUAUCAUUUUAGUAUCUGUCUUUGAUCAGUUUUCCUUCUCAGAGGCAAAUUGCAGUAGUGGAAAAACAAAAGAAGAGUUGUUAUCAUGUCUGGUUUCUUACUAGUUAAUUCUUUUUGACAUUUAUCAGCGAUCUAAUGGUGAAGUACGUAGCUGAAUCCACACUUCUUCAGAUCAAGGGAAGUAUACUACAGCUGAUCUGCUGUCCCCAUGUCCAAUCCCAAUCAGCUAAAUUUGAGUUACUUACGCG